CGUUAGCGGCGGACGGGUGAGUAACACGUGGGUAACCUACCUAUAAGACUGGGAUAACUCCGGGAAACCGGGGCUAAUACCGGAUAACACAUGAAACCGCAUGGUUUCAUGAUGAAAGACGGUUUUGCUGUCACUUAUAGAUGGACCCGCGGCGUAUUAGCUAGUUGGUAAGGUAACGGCUUACCAAGGCAACGAUACGUAGCCGACCUGAGAGGGUGAUCGGCCACACUGGAACUGAGACACGGUCCAG
Molecule: ribosomal RNA, 250 nt
Filed under: uncultured Staphylococcus sp.
Lineage: Bacteria; Bacillati; Bacillota; Bacilli; Caryophanales; Staphylococcaceae
Description: partial 16S ribosomal RNA
Rfam family: Bacterial small subunit ribosomal RNA
Source: RNAcentral